GUCAUUGAUGUGCUGUUCUGCUGUUGCUAUUGCUGGUUGUUGUUUAAUGGCGGUUCAUCGCCGGAAAUGGCAGCCACAUGCUGCUCCUUUUGUCUUUCGGUUUCACUGAAGAGUCAUUUAGACCAAGAUAGUUGUUUAACUGUGAUUCGAAAAGGUACAUGAAGGUAAUGUAUAAUGAAGAAGGUUCGAUGUUGGAAGUUUGUUGUAUGCUUUAUACUAUUUGUAUCGCGGCGAGGACGAUCAACUUUGUAAUAUUAUAGUUAAUAGUUAAUUUGUAAUUGAAUUAAAAAGGUUUGAGUUUGUAAAGUCUAGAUUUGAUUGGGUUGCUGGAUUUUGAGGAUACAGGAUUACGAAUCGGACGCGAGUCCUAAAUUAAGUUUUAGGCGGUCCGUAUUACAAAGGGAACUCUGCCGAAUUUUCUGUAGAA
Molecule: long non-coding RNA, 427 nt
Organism: Beta vulgaris subsp. vulgaris (sugar beet)
Lineage: Eukaryota; Viridiplantae; Streptophyta; Magnoliopsida; Caryophyllales; Amaranthaceae
Exons: 3
Source: RefSeq, a predicted model, not a curated record